Molecule: ribosomal RNA, 642 nt
Filed under: Cystobasidium minutum
Lineage: Eukaryota; Fungi; Basidiomycota; Cystobasidiomycetes; Cystobasidiales; Cystobasidiaceae
Description: eukaryotic LSU rRNA
Rfam family: Eukaryotic large subunit ribosomal RNA
Source: RNAcentral
GCAUAUCAAUAAGCGGAGGAAAAGAAACUAACAAGGAUUCCCCUAGUAACGGCGAGUGAAGUGGGAAAAGCUCAACUUUGAAAUCUGGCACCUUCGGUGUCCGAGUUGUAGUCUCAAGAAGUGUUUUCUGUGCUGGUCCAUGUAUGAGUCUGUUGGAACACAGCGUCAUAGAGGGUGACAACCCCGUUCAUGACAUGGAUACCAGUGCUUUGUGAUACACUCUCGAAGAGUCGAGUUGUUUGGGAAUGCAGCUCAAAUUGGGUGGUAAAUUCCAUCUAAAGCUAAAUAUUGGCGAGAGACCGAUAGCAAACAAGUACCGUGAGGGAAAGAUGAAAAGCACUUUGGAAAGAGAGUUAACAGUACGUGAAAUUGUUGAAAGGGAAACGAUUGAAGUCAGACGUGCGUGAUGCGGUUCAGCUCUGGUUCGCCAGAGUGUAUUCCGUAUCUUUGCAGGCCAACAUCGGUUUUAUUAGUCGGAUAAAGAUUAGUUGAAUGUGGCACCUUCGGGUGUGUUAUAGCUUCUAAUUGAAUACGAUUGACGAGACCGAGGAACGCAGCGCGCCGCAAGGCAAAGGUUCCGACCUUUUCGUGCUUAGGAUGUUGGUGAAAUGGCUUUAAACGACCCGUCUUGAAACACGGACC